AGGUUUGAGAGAGAGAGAACGGAUUUGCCGGAGUUUCCGUCGGAGAGUCGCCUAUAGGAUCCAUUCCCUACUAAGACCUGUACUCUGGAGCCCUUCUUGGAGUGAAGUAAGAACUCGUGUGGAGAUUUCCUCCUCUUCCCUCAAGAUCAGAAACAAAAAAAAAACCCAAGGGAAGAUUCGCCGCUGAUCUUGGUGAGGAAAACGGACGAAACGACGAGAUCGGAGAGACUACCCAAGAACGGAGGAGGGAGAAAACCGCCGGCGUACCACGUGGCAACCAGCUAGAGGGCCGCGUGCGCCAAUCGCCCCCGGACACGCGUCGAGCGCCGCCUGGGAAAGCGCGGCUCCAGCUCUCCUGCAACACGCGUCUCUGGCUACGCGACCCGGACCCGCGACCCGCGACCCGCGACUGCAGAAAUCUCUGGGCGCGUGACACUCGCGCGUGGGAUCUGCGAGUGGCUGCUCCCCGGCGUGAGACUGGCGCGUGGAGGCGCGUGACCUUAUUGAGGAAAAAUCACCCCCUCUCGAUACGCCAAGUGUGUGGAAACGCUGCGUAAGGGCACGUAGCAUCCAAGUAAGUCGCCACACGGAAUUUAGGAAGUAAUACUUGUAGGAACCGCUUGGGAUGCAUGCAUGCUAGUUUGAAUUACCUUAGGUUGUAGCUUUCCGUAAUGUUCUUGGAGGAAUAGAUUAUUGAAAGUAAGAUGUAUGCUGUGAUUUGUUAUGAGCGUUACUUGGAUACUGCUUAUAUGCUUUUAGUUCCCAUUUUAUUUCAUGCAUAUGUAUAUCUUUUUGCUGAAUGGAGGAUGGGAAAAUUGCGAACUCUGUGCUCCGGGAGUUGAUGGAUGUUAUCACCCCGUCGAGCUUGUAUGAUUACUUUGCAUGAAAUGUGUUUGAGGUUUUUGGAUAUUAGUUAUGUACGUACUCGGUUAUUUUCAUGGCCACCUUUAUGAAUAAGACUAGUAGACUAUGGUUAGAGCGACAAGCCAUCAAGGGAUAGACAUAACCUUUUCCUAUUAGUUUAACAGACCAUCACGGCACAUGAAACAUCCUUAGAGUACCCUUAGGCUACUUGUGUGUGGAUGGUGAUAUAGCUUCGUGGGGGACCAGCGGGUUCCUGAUCAGGACUCGAUUGCUCGAUAGCCGUUUAGUAUGGGAAACGGGAUACCCACGUCGUAAUUGACCGUUUAGCUGGAUGGAAUAGGGGAGGUAGCCCUCCCAAAUACAGGGGGAUUAUCAUGGGUCUAGGGGGUUGCAGCUCACUUCCUAGGCAAGACCCCAGAUAAUCUCAUACCCAUGCCGAGGUAGCCACUCGUAAGGCACCAGUCCAACACAGGUUAGCAUAAAAGGAACUCUAUGGGUUUAAAUAAAAGGUCUA
Cucurbita moschata (crookneck pumpkin) is the source of this 1378-nucleotide long non-coding RNA. RefSeq lists it as uncharacterized. The record is from RefSeq and is a predicted model, not a curated record. The transcript has 4 exons. Lineage: Eukaryota; Viridiplantae; Streptophyta; Magnoliopsida; Cucurbitales; Cucurbitaceae.